RNAcentral lists this ribosomal RNA (256 nucleotides) under uncultured bacterium. RNAcentral describes it as "partial 16S ribosomal RNA". It matches the Rfam family "Bacterial small subunit ribosomal RNA", at positions 524 to 776 of the family's 1533-position model. The record is from RNAcentral.
UACGUAGGGUGCGAGCGUUGUCCGGAAUUAUUGGGCGUAAAGAGCUCGUAGGCGGUGUGUCACGUCGGCCGUGAAAACCUGCAGCUUAACUGUGGGCGUGCGGUCGAUACGGGGCAUCACUGGAGUUCGGCAGGGGAGACUGGAAUUCCUGGUGUAGCGGUGAAAUGCGCAGAUAUCAGGAGGAACACCGGUGGCGAAGGCGGGUCUCUGGGCCGAUACUGACGCUGGAGGAGCGAAAGCGUGGGGAGCAAACAGG